Molecule: ribosomal RNA, 2758 nt
Filed under: Klebsiella pneumoniae
Lineage: Bacteria; Pseudomonadati; Pseudomonadota; Gammaproteobacteria; Enterobacterales; Enterobacteriaceae
Also listed under: 1 other name
Description: partial 23S ribosomal RNA
Rfam family: Bacterial large subunit ribosomal RNA
Source: RNAcentral
CACUAUCGUUAACUGAAUACAUAGGUUAACGAGGCGAACCGGGGGAACUGAAACAUCUAAGUACCCCGAGGAAAAGAAAUCAACCGAGAUUCCCCCAGUAGCGGCGAGCGAACGGGGAGCAGCCCAGAGUCUGAAUCAGCUUGUGUGUUAGUGGAACGGUCUGGAAAGUCCGACGGUACAGGGUGAUAGUCCCGUACACCAAAAUGCACAGGUUGUGAACUCGAAGAGUAGGGCGGGACACGUGGUAUCCUGUCUGAAUAUGGGGGGACCAUCCUCCAAGGCUAAAUACUCCUGACUGACCGAUAGUGAACCAGUACCGUGAGGGAAAGGCGAAAAGAACCCCGGCGAGGGGAGUGAAAAAGAACCUGAAACCGUGUACGUACAAGCAGUGGGAGCACCUUCGGGUGUGACUGCGUACCUUUUGUAUAAUGGGUCAGCGACUUAUAUUCUGUAGCAAGGUUAACCGUAUAGGGGAGCCGCAGGGAAACCGAGUCUUAACUGGGCGUUAAGUUGCAGGGUAUAGACCCGAAACCCGGUGAUCUAGCCAUGGGCAGGUUGAAGGUUGGGUAACACUAACUGGAGGACCGAACCGACUAAUGUUGAAAAAUUAGCGGAUGACUUGUGGCUGGGGGUGAAAGGCCAAUCAAACCGGGAGAUAGCUGGUUCUCCCCGAAAGCUAUUUAGGUAGCGCCUCGUGAAUUCAUCUUCGGGGGUAGAGCACUGUUUCGGCUAGGGGGUCAUCCCGACUUACCAACCCGAUGCAAACUACGAAUACCGAAGAAUGUUAUCACGGGAGACACACGGCGGGUGCUAACGUCCGUCGUGAAGAGGGAAACAACCCAGACCGCCAGCUAAGGUCCCAAAGUCAUGGUUAAGUGGGAAACGAUGUGGGAAGGCACAGACAGCCAGGAUGUUGGCUUAGAAGCAGCCAUCAUUUAAAGAAAGCGUAAUAGCUCACUGGUCGAGUCGGCCUGCGCGGAAGAUGUAACGGGGCUAAACCAUGCACCGAAGCUGCGGCAGCGACACUAUGUGUUGUUGGGUAGGGGAGCGUUCUGUAAGCCUGCGAAGGUGACCUGUGAGGGUUGCUGGAGGUAUCAGAAGUGCGAAUGCUGACAUAAGUAACGAUAAAGCGGGUGAAAAGCCCGCUCGCCGGAAGACCAAGGGUUCCUGUCCAACGUUAAUCGGGGCAGGGUGAGUCGACCCCUAAGGCGAGGCCGAAAGGCGUAGUCGAUGGGAAACAGGUUAAUAUUCCUGUACUUGGUGUUACUGCGAAGGGGGGACGGAGAAGGCUAUGUUAGCCGGGCGACGGUUGUCCCGGUUUAAGCAUGUAGGCUGGUUGUCCAGGCAAAUCCGGAUAAUCAAGGCUGAGGUGUGAUGACGAGGCACUACGGUGCUGAAGUAACAAAUGCCCUGCUUCCAGGAAAAGCCUCUAAGCAUCAGGUAACAUCAAAUCGUACCCCAAACCGACACAGGUGGUCAGGUAGAGAAUACCAAGGCGCUUGAGAGAACUCGGGUGAAGGAACUAGGCAAAAUGGUGCCGUAACUUCGGGAGAAGGCACGCUGGUGUGUAGGUGAAGUCCCUGCGGAUGGAGCUGAGACCAGUCGAAGAUACCAGCUGGCUGCAACUGUUUAUUAAAAACACAGCACUGUGCAAACACGAAAGUGGACGUAUACGGUGUGACGCCUGCCCGGUGCCGGAAGGUUAAUUGAUGGGGUUAUCCGUAAGGAGAAGCUCUUGAUCGAAGCCCCGGUAAACGGCGGCCGUAACUAUAACGGUCCUAAGGUAGCGAAAUUCCUUGUCGGGUAAGUUCCGACCUGCACGAAUGGCGUAAUGAUGGCCAGGCUGUCUCCACCCGAGACUCAGUGAAAUUGAACUCGCUGUGAAGAUGCAGUGUACCCGCGGCAAGACGGAAAGACCCCGUGAACCUUUACUAUAGCUUGACACUGAACAUUGAGCCUUGAUGUGUAGGAUAGGUGGGAGGCUUUGAAGCGUGGACGCCAGUCUGCGUGGAGCCAACCUUGAAAUACCACCCUUUAAUGUUUGAUGUUCUAACGUUGGCCCCUUACCGGGGUUGCGGACAGUGUCUGGUGGGUAGUUUGACUGGGGCGGUCUCCUCCCAAAGCGUAACGGAGGAGCACGAAGGUUAGCUAAUCCUGGUCGGACAUCAGGAGGUUAGUGCAAUGGCAUAAGCUAGCUUGACUGCGAGCGUGACGGCGCGAGCAGGUGCGAAAGCAGGUCAUAGUGAUCCGGUGGUUCUGAAUGGAAGGGCCAUCGCUCAACGGAUAAAAGGUACUCCGGGGAUAACAGGCUGAUACCGCCCAAGAGUUCAUAUCGACGGCGGUGUUUGGCACCUCGAUGUCGGCUCAUCACAUCCUGGGGCUGAAGUAGGUCCCAAGGGUAUGGCUGUUCGCCAUUUAAAGUGGUACGCGAGCUGGGUUUAGAACGUCGUGAGACAGUUCGGUCCCUAUCUGCCGUGGGCGCUGGAGAAUUGAGGGGGGCUGCUCCUAGUACGAGAGGACCGGAGUGGACGCAUCACUGGUGUUCGGGUUGUCAUGCCAAUGGCACUGCCCGGUAGCUAAAUGCGGAAGAGAUAAGUGCUGAAAGCAUCUAAGCACGAAACUUGCCCCGAGAUGAGUUCUCCCUGAGACUUUAAGUCUCCUGAAGGAACGUUAAAGACGAUGACGUUGAUAGGCCGGGUGUGUAAGCGCAGCGAUGCGUUGAGCUAACCGGUACUAAUGAACCGUGAGGCUUAACCUU